This 2376-nucleotide long non-coding RNA is filed under the name Podarcis lilfordi (Lilford's wall lizard). Lineage: Eukaryota; Metazoa; Chordata; Lepidosauria; Squamata; Lacertidae. The record is from RNAcentral.
UCAGCCUCUGGGGAUUGGCUUCUUGGGUCACUCUGGAGAAGGUCCAUGCCUAAAACUGUCAGGAGCUUGUCCUACACUUGAGUAGGACCCUGGCAGAGACACAUGCCCGACCGGCAUGUUCUCUCCCUCCUGGUCGUUCAUUCGGGAGCUUCAAAAGCUUGCUUCAGCCUGAACAUUACAGCGACCGAUGUCAACAGACAUUGGCACACUUAGGGAUCCUCAAAGUCUUCACAGCUUGUGUAACGGACCUCAGCAACUCAGCAUUUUGGCUAAUCUACUUUUGUUGUUGUUUAGUCAUUUAGUCGUGUCUGACUCUUCGUGACCCCAUGGACCAGAGCAUGCCAGGCACUCCUGUCUUCCACUGCCCCCGCAGUUUGGUCAAACUCAUGUUGGUAGCUUCGAGAACAUCCAACCAUCCCGUCCUCUGUUGUCCCCUCCUCCUUGUGCCCUCAAUCUUUCCCAGGAUCAGGGUCUUUUCCAGGGUGUCUUCUCUUCUCUACUUUAUUUACAUAUAAAUACACACGGAGCACUGCAACAUGGCUCCCUCGCUCUUUAGCAUCAGACAGCAAAGAGAAAGAACACAGGACAAUAGUCCCACUUCACGGAACACAGGAACACAAACAUCCUGUCUCUGUCACUUCCCACUCUGUGGAGUCAAAACAUACACCGUCAUGUGAUAGACAAAAAUCCCAUGACUGCAAUCACGGAGCAGGAAUUCUAACAAAAACACCAAAGAAUUGUUGUUUCUACAGUGGUACCUGUAGAAACUUAAUUCGUUCCGGAGGUCCGUUCUUAACCUGAAACUGUUCUUAACCUGAAGCACCACUUUAGCUAAUGGGGCCUCCUGCUGCUGCCGCGCCGCCAGAGCACGAUUUCUGUUCUCAUCCUGAAGCAAAGUUCUUAACCCGAGGUACUAUUUCUGGGUUAACGGAGUCUGUAACCUGAAGCGUAUGUAACCUGAAGCAUAUGUAACCCGAGGUACCACUAUAUAUGCUUGAAUGCUAAACAUUUAGGAAUACUGAAAACACAGGGCAUUUCCAUUCCAAGAGAAUGGUGUGCAUGUUCUGUUAUGAACAAUGGACCUUCAUGCAAAACACAACGUAAGUCAUUCAGAAAGAAGAUGUCGGAGCACUCCAAAUCAUUUGGACAAGUACGUGCAGGGAACAUAGUAGGCCUAGUGGACAGGCAACACAUGGAGAUCUGCAUUGGUUGUUGCAAUGCACCCCUAAUUAUCACUUUUGUAUAAUUAUAGAAUUCUUGCAUACCCUUAGAAGGGGCAGGGCUGUAACUUACACAAAGGGACCCUGAAUUUGCCACUACACUACUGGAUGGGGGUUGUAGUAGUAGAACAACUUCUAGGGGCACUACAUUGGUAACUGUGGCUCGAAAAUUACUUCUGCUGCUGCAGAAGACCAAACACACACACACACACACACACACACACACACACACAGUCAAGAGAGAAAGAACAGCAGGAAGAAUUGUUGAGAAAGGUCACCAUUGUUUGCUCCCAAGAGAUUAUGGCAAAGGCACCUUUGCUAAAAGUCAAAUCAUCUGCAUCAUUUAGGAAGAACAGGAAAAGGGCUAUUAGGCUGCAAAAUGAGCAUGAACAAUGCAGCCCUCACUGUGGGCAAAAUGGUUUUAAUAGGAUCUGCAGGGAACUUGAUCUGCCACCAAGUGUUUGAUCCUUUCCUAUAGACAAUCUCUCGUCUAUAUUCACGCACAUACAGAACCCUGGAUUGUAUUCGAGUGGCAUUUUGAGUUCAAAUGUCACAUCUGAUUGGCUAACAUAACUCUGGACGCAAGCCAAGGAGAGAGAGAGAGAGAGAGAGAGCGCCAGAGCUAAUGUCUAACUGGAUGUGACAGAACAUUAAAUCGCUGAGCAGCAGCUAAGGAAUUCCUUUCUGUUGCUUUCAAUAGGACUUUCUCGGGACUCAACCAGCCCCACUGAAAUCAAUGGAAGUCUGUAUCUGAGAAGUUGUGCCCACAGAUUUGCAACGUUUGUCUCGCUUUUGCUCGAUUGAUGGUCUGGGUCAUUUUAAAAGGCUUUCCCUGGAAGCAUGUGGCUGUGUUUGUAUCUCGCUUAUAUCCUCUGUACAUGCAUAGCCCUUGUAAGCUUAUGCAAAGGUGUGGUUGCCAUCCACUGUAAUCCACAGGACGGAAGUAGCUCUGUGGCAGGCUAAUAUGUGGUCAACAGAGGUGUAGUGGCCAGGAUCACAGGGAAGGGCUGGCGCUGUGGGUAAACCACAGAGCCUAGGACUCGCCGAUCAGAAGGUCGGCGGUUCAAAUCCCCGCAACGGGGUGAGCUCCCGUUGCUCGGUCCCUGCUCCUGCCAACCUAGCAGUUCGAAAGCACGUUCAAGUGCAAGUAGAUAAA